AUUUACUUGCUGUGAAGAUUAAAUUAAAUCUCUCCCCUGAUUAUGAAGAUUAAAUUAACUCUGGUGCCCAUUUUUAGAUUUAAUCACCAAAAGUGUAAACAUCCCACUUAAUCAUUAAGUGGGAGGUCUUUGACCCACAUAUGUGACAAUGGGUGAUGAAUCAAAAUCAAACUGACUACCCCCCUAGGCAGUCCUAAGAAAAGCUUCAACUGUAAUUGGUAGAAGUGAAAGUGGAGGAAGGCACAGGAAGUGAUGCAAAAAAAGUGUCUUUAAAGGGGAGUUACAACUUCCUGUGGAGGAGAUUCCUGAGAGAAUGAUCUGAGAUCUUCAGAGAGAACUUCUGACUUCUAGACUUCUAGACUUCUGUGUUCGAGUUGGAUGUUGGUGAAGAAUCUGCUGACUGGACCUGAGACCCUUUGUGUGGUGAGACUUUCCUUGAAUCUCUCCCCUUUGGACUGACACAUGAACAGAACCUAAGAAAGGAGUGUUUGCUAUGGAGAGGAACCAAAGCCCAGAAUUCUGCCACUUCUCCUUUUGCUUGCAGACAUCCAAGGCCAGCACAGCCUUCAGAUCACAAUAUGAAAAGGAACCUACUUUAGCACUGUUGAUGGGCAGAGCCAGGGGAAGACAAAGACACAUUCAAGGAGCUGCCCUCAUCUAGAUCUUCUAUAGCCAAACCUCCUUCCUCUUCUCAUACUCCUGUAGGACACCUUAUCCCAAGUGACCCUUCCCUCCUCCGGCUUGGAGUUGGGCUCAAAUGCAUAUAGCAGGAAGUCAGACUAGGACUUUAGAGCACUAAAUUGUUUCCCCAUGACAGCCUUCUCUUCUGUUUUGUUUUCUUUUUUUAAUGCAAAGCUGCAUAUGAAUAGACUGAACCAAAAAUUAUGGAAGCCAACAAAAGUGGUUGUCACAGAGCAGACACUCAAGAAUGCUAUGAAUGAAUGAGUAGAUAAAGAAGGAAACUCCAGGUCUGUGGAGAAGUGUUAGGAAAUUCAUUCAGAGGUCAACACUCUCUUGAAAAGGGUUAAGGGGAGAGCAUCAACAAAGGAUACAUUGCAGCCGUCAUGGACGUGGAAUUUAUAGAUUGUCACAGAACCUGCUCCCCAUCUCCCAUCUGGUAGGGCAAAGUCUUCAGUGUCUCACUGAUGGGGAAAUCCUAACCAGAGUGACUCAGAGGGCUCUUGUCUUCCUAGGCCUCCGAUGACAGACAGAAAGAGGGUUGCUGAAACAGUAAGAGUUGCAUUGGCAGACUUCCCUCACUGCAGUCAGAGUAGCUAAAGAUAGGCAAUGACCUUCUAGCAACAGCUUUGCUUCCAGGGACAGAGGCAGCCCUCCAGGAAGAAGACCAUGAUCCAGAGGCCAAAAAAGAAAGGAACAUGUUCUCCUCUUUUGACAAAAACCUAGCUCCUUGGGUUCUUUCAGCUAGCCCUGGAUGAGAAUAAAAAAUUUCCAUCUGGGGACA
This 1462-nucleotide long non-coding RNA is filed under the name Monodelphis domestica (gray short-tailed opossum). RNAcentral describes it as "lncRNA (ENSMODG00000035911.2)". The record is from RNAcentral. Lineage: Eukaryota; Metazoa; Chordata; Mammalia; Didelphimorphia; Didelphidae.